UUAUGAUUAGACGAUGACUGUUACAUAUCACGUUCAGAUUGGACGUUGACAACAACAAUACAUUUUCAUCGUCCAUAAAGUUAACAUCCAAUCAGAACGUGAUGGUCAUCGUCCAAUCAGAAUGUGACACGUGUCAAUCAACAUUU
Non-coding RNA from Glycine soja, 146 nucleotides. NCBI's taxonomy places the organism in Eukaryota, Viridiplantae, Streptophyta, Magnoliopsida, Fabales, Fabaceae. The record is from Rfam.